This 465-nucleotide ribosomal RNA is filed under the name Vreelandella stevensii. RNAcentral describes it as "partial 16S ribosomal RNA". It matches the Rfam family "Bacterial small subunit ribosomal RNA", at positions 338 to 795 of the family's 1533-position model. Lineage: Bacteria; Pseudomonadati; Pseudomonadota; Gammaproteobacteria; Oceanospirillales; Halomonadaceae. The record is from RNAcentral.
CCUACGGGAGGCAGCAGUGGGGAAUAUUGGACAAUGGGGGGAACCCUGAUCCAGCCAUGCCGCGUGUGUGAAGAAGGCCCUCGGGUUGUAAAGCACUUUCAGUGAGGAAGAACGCCUGGUGGUUAAUACCCAACAGGAAAGACAUCACUCACAGAAGAAGCACCGGCUAACUCCGUGCCAGCAGCCGCAGUAAUACGGAGGGUGCGAGCGUUAAUCGGAAUUACUGGGCGUAAAGCGCGCGUAGGUGGCUUGAUAAGCCGGUUGUGAAAGCCCCGGGCUCAACCUGGGAACGGCAUCCGGAACUGUCAAGCUAGAGUGCAGGAGAGGAAGGUAGAAUUCCCGGUGUAGCGGUGAAAUGCGUAGAGAUCGGGAGGAAUACCAGUGGCGAAGGCGGCCUUCUGGACUGACACUGACACUGAGGUGCGAAAGCGUGGGUAGCAAACAGGAUUAGAUACCCCAGUAGUC